RNAcentral lists this ribosomal RNA (502 nucleotides) under uncultured soil bacterium. RNAcentral describes it as "bacterial SSU rRNA". It matches the Rfam family "Bacterial small subunit ribosomal RNA", at positions 26 to 525 of the family's 1533-position model. The record is from RNAcentral.
AGAAUCAACGCUGGCGGCGUGCCUCAGACAUGCAAGUCGAACGCGAAAGCCCCCUUCGGGGGGCAAGUAGAGUGGCGCACGGGUGAGUAACACGUAGGUAAUCUACCUUUGGAUGGGGAAUAACAACCGGAAACGGUUGCUAAUACCGCAUAAUGCAGCGGCACCUAAUGGUGACAGUUGUUAAAGCGGGGGAUCGAAAGACCUCGCGUCUGAAGAGGAGCCUGCGGCGGAUUAGCUAGUUGGUAGGGUAACGGCCUACCAAGGCUACGAUCCGUAGCCGGCCUGAGAGGGCGGUCGGCCACACUGACACUGACAUACGGGUCAGACUCCUACGGGAGGCAGCGAGUCGGGAAUUUUUGGGACAAGUGGGACGAAAGCCUAGACCCAGACCAACGCCGCGUAGAAGGAUAGGUAACUCCCGUACGGGAUUACGUAAACUUUCGGACAACGGAACGGGAAACGGAAAGUAAACGGUAGGGAACUAAACGUACCCCCCGUAAUA